GACGAACGCUGGCGGCGUGCUUAACACAUGCAAGUCGAACGGUAAGGCCCUUCGGGGUACACGAGUGGCGAACGGGUGAGUAACACGUGGGUGAUCUGCCCUGCACUUCGGGAUAAGCCUGGGAAACUGGGUCUAAUACCGGAUAGGACUCCUGGCUUCAUGGUGGGGGGUGGAAAGCUUUUGCGGUGUGGGAUGGGCCCGCGGCCUAUCAGCUUGUUGGUGGGGUAAUGGCCUACCAAGGCGACGACGGGUAGCCGGCCUGCGAGGGUGACCGGUCACACUGGGACUGAGAUACGGCCCAGACUCCUACGGGAGGCAGCAGUGGGGAAUAUUGCACAAUGGGCGCAAGCCUGAUGCAGCGACGCCGCGUGAGGGAUGACGGCCUUCGGGUUGUAAACCUCUUUCAGCUAUGACGAAGCGCAAGUGACGGUAGUAGCAGAAGAAGGACCGGCCAACUACGUGCCAGCCGCCGCCGUAA
This 478-nucleotide ribosomal RNA is filed under the name uncultured bacterium. RNAcentral describes it as "partial 16S ribosomal RNA". It matches the Rfam family "Bacterial small subunit ribosomal RNA", at positions 28 to 523 of the family's 1533-position model. The record is from RNAcentral.